GAGCCAUUUAUUGGAUUGUGGUGUAAGCGUGUGGCCCGUGGCAUAGGUAAAUCCGUGUCGCAUUUGUGGGUGAGGCGUGAUGCGUAGACCUUUGUGGUUGAUGUUGGUGAUCCUGUACUGUCGAGAAAAGCCUCUAGCGAGUGCAUAUAUGGCCCGUACCCAUAACCGACACAGGUGGUCAGGUAGAGAAUACUAAGGCGAUCGGGUGAACUGUGGUUAAGGAACUCGGCAAAUUGCCCCCGUAACUUCGGGAGAAGGGGGACCAUUGCUGGUGACCGACGUGGUUGAGCUGGUGGUGGUCGCAGAGAAUAGAGGGAAGCGACUGUUUAUUAAAAACACAGGUCCGUGCGAAAACGUGGAAGUUGAUGUAUACGGACUGACGCCUGCCCGGUGCUGGAAGGUUAAGAGGACCUGUUAGGGCAUUUUUUGUCCGAAGCGGAGAAUUUAAGCCCCAGUAAACGGCGGUGGUAACUAUAACCAUCCUAAGGUAGCGAAAUUCCUUGUCGGGUAAGUUCCGACCUGCACGAAUGGCGUAACGACUUCCCUGCUGUCUCAACCACAGGCCCGGUGAAAUUGCAGUACGAGUAAAGAUGCUCGUUACGCGCGGCAGGACGAAAAGACCCCGGGACCUUCACUAUAGCUUGGUAUUGGUGUUUGGUUCGGUUUGUGUAGGAUAGGUGGGAGACUGUGAAGUGGUCACGCUAGUGGUUGUGGAGUCGAAAGUUGAAAUACCACUCUGAUCGGAUUGAGCACCUUAACCUUGGCCCAUGAUCUGGGUUGGGGACAGUGCCUGGUGGGUAGUUUAACUGGGGCGGUUGCCUCCUAAAGUGUAACGGAGGCGCCCAAAGGUUCCCUCAGCCUGGUUGGCAAUCAGGUGGUGAGUGUAAGUGCACAAGGGAGCUUGACUGUGAGACUGACAGGUCGAGCAGGGACGAAAGUCGGGACUAGUGAUCCGGCACCUACUUGUGGAAGUGGUGUCGCUCAACGGAUAAAAGGUACCCCGGGGAUAACAGGCUGAUCUUCCCCAAGAGUCCAUAUCGACGGGAUGGUUUGGCACCUCGAUGUCGGCUCGUCGCAUCCUGGGGCUGGAGUAGGUCCCAAGGGUUGGGCUGUUCGCCCAUUAAAGCGGCACGCGAGCUGGGUUUAGAACGUCGUGAGACAGUUCGGUCUCUAUCCGCCGCGCGCGUUGAAACUUGAAGAAGGCUGUCCCUAGUACGAGAGGACCGGGACGGACGUACCUCUAGUGUGCCAGUUGUCACGCCAGUGGCAGGGCUGGUUGGCUACGUACGGGAGGGAUAACCGCUGAAAGCAUCUAAGCGGGAAGCCUGUUUUGAGAUGAGGUUUCUUUUGAGGUUCCCUCUAGACUAGGGGGUUGAUAGGCCAGAUCUGGAAGCGUAGUAAUGCGUUAAGGUGACUGGUACUAAUUUUACCGAGUAAUAACAGUGU
Molecule: ribosomal RNA, 1446 nt
Filed under: Corynebacterium diphtheriae bv. mitis
Lineage: Bacteria; Bacillati; Actinomycetota; Actinomycetes; Mycobacteriales; Corynebacteriaceae
Description: partial 23S ribosomal RNA
Rfam family: Bacterial large subunit ribosomal RNA
Source: RNAcentral